UUUAUUUAUUUGGUUGUGCCGAGUCUUAUUUGUGGCAGGCAGGCUCCUUAGUUGUGGCUCCAGGGCUCCUUCAUUGUGACUCGCAGUCUCCUUAGUUGUGGCAGGCAAACUUAGCUGCGGCAUGCAUGUGGGACCUAGUUCCCUGACCAGGUAGCGAACCUGGACCUCCUGCAUUGGGAGAGUGGAGUCUUAUCCACUGCGCCACCAGGGAAGUCCCAAACUGAGCGUCUUUCCUACUGAGUCUGGAUGAAAUCAUAGAACCCUUUUCAAUACAGUGUCCACAGUCACUACAAAUCAAUCCAAGUUGGCACGGCUGGUCAGGGGAUGGUACUCUAAGGUCUCAAUUAAGCAUUCUUUCUUUUUUUUCUUUUUCUCUUCUUUUAUUUAUUUUUUUUAUUUAGCCAUGCCAUGUGGCAUGUGGGAUCUUAGUUCCCCUACCAGGGAUCAAAACUGUGCCCUUUGUGUUGGAAGUAUGGAGCGUUAAAGAAAAAAAAGAAGAGGCUUUCCUUAAAACACUUUGAUAUGAAACAACUAAAAUAGCAAGGAGCUGAGAAGGGAGGGGACACCCUCGCAUAUAUAAAUAUAGUGUAAAGCGCCCUUGCUUUCUACACAAAGGGACAUCUCCUGCCAAAGGGAAGACAUCUGAACCAUUUUGCAAAUGUCAAAGUGAAACAUCAAACGUCACAAAGUUCAUCAGUGAGUGAGCGAGGAUUCUCCAGGAUUCCAAGUGACUCCACAUUUAUUCCCUCUGUCUCUGGUGAACACGUGGAUAACGCGCAAACCACUGAUUUCCGCGGUAAGAGACGGCAAGUCAGGAGGCGGCAGUACCCUGCGAGGAGAGUGGGGUUAUGGAGCUGAUCUGAGAUGAGGACCCAGAAGGCUGCUCAAGGGGCAGAGCCCAGGAAACAGGAGGAUCUACAGGACCCUGGGAAGGGGGAAGAUCAGAAACAGGGAAGGAAUCAUCCAAUUAAAGGAGUGUAUGGUGGAGCUUUCCACCGUAUACUGAGAAGGUCUACAUGACUCAGUGAACCAGCAUUUUCCAAAUGAUGGAUGCAGAAUGAUACAAAAUCAUGCAAGGACAAAGGACCUGUUCCAAGCGCCAAACAGAC
This is a long non-coding RNA of Orcinus orca (killer whale), 1109 nucleotides long. RefSeq lists it as uncharacterized. Lineage: Eukaryota; Metazoa; Chordata; Mammalia; Artiodactyla; Delphinidae. The record is from RefSeq and is a predicted model, not a curated record. The transcript is spliced from 4 exons.